Molecule: long non-coding RNA, 1154 nt
Organism: Myotis lucifugus (little brown bat)
Lineage: Eukaryota; Metazoa; Chordata; Mammalia; Chiroptera; Vespertilionidae
Exons: 3
Source: RefSeq, a predicted model, not a curated record
GCCACAGCCUAGCCACACCGCUAAGGUCUGUCUAAUGAAAUCCUCCAAGUAUUGCUCACUUAGUCCUCAUAACAACCUUACAGGAUGAUUAUCCUCACUUACUGAUGUGGAAACUGAAGCUGAGCAAAGAUGUUAAAGAUGUCAAAUGUCACUGCAAUACCCAGAAUUUACACAGUUGCUCCCUGGAAGCCUCUGUGCUUGUCCUCAUGCUGUUGCCUACCUUGGGAAUGGAAUGUUCUCAUGUUCUGGCUGGCAAGCUCCUGACCAUACCAUAACACUCUCAGAAAAUAUGCUGUGAGGUGGAGAAGGCUGAUGGCUAGACAGAUGCUACAGACCCCAUUGGUGAAGGUGCCCUUUGCUUCAUGUUUGAAGUAAGUGGUUAUUUUUCUCUUUAUUCUUGUGGAGGGACAGGGUAUUAUGAAGUACAGGGAGAUGGGGAUUUCCAGCACCUGCAAUGGAGGUAGCUCAGUGGUGACACGAAGAAGUGGUUUCUGAUUUCUCCCAGUGAUGCGAUUCACAGGUCUGGAGUAUUUUGGAGAGAACAUUGAGAAUCAGAGCUUAUAUAAAUAGGCAUGAAGGCAGGAGGUUGACAAACGAUAAAAAGGGGUUCCAUGUUACAGAAAAAUGAUUUUUUCCCCCUGGAAAUGGAAGUGAAAUACCAGGAGCAAAGAUGAGGGGCCGCCAGAGAAGUUACAGUGAGGGGCUGCUCAGGUUGUUGUCCUGAAAUAGAGGAAUGAUCCUUGCAGUCUGGUGACUCACCUCUCACUCCAGUCAGUGCUUCCUGAAAAAGGCAGGAGCUCUGAGACACUAACAGUAAACUUAUCCCUUCGAGAAGCACCUCUCAUCCUCAGGCUGGUCUGCUGAUCUCCUCAUGCCCCCGGGGCAGGAUUAGAGGCCUUGAAAUGCUGCCCUAUCGGUGUGACUUCUCAUCUCUACUCAAGAACGCACUGGCAGCUUCCCUUGGCAGCUGAUCACACAGCGAGGACCGGCAAGGCUCUUAGGCUUUCAAGACAGCAGGACACCCUUGGGGAAUAGGCCUCUUGCUGGAGGUCACAGCACCCAGAGAACGAUUGCAGUGGUUCUCAACCUUCCUAAUGCCGCGACCCUUUAAUACAGUUCCUCAUGCUGUGGUGACCCCCAACCAUAAAAUUAUU